AGAAAACACCUGUAGGUGACAUCAACGUACAAAUUAGAUCAACUGAUCAACUAUAAAUGAAUUUGCCUUAGCUGGAAAAAGUCUACAUAGAAAUCAGAUCGUGAACCUCCUAGUACCUCCCGCACUGUACCUCCCAACGCCCACUACUCUCCCCCUCACUCUGGUCCCCAGGAUGUGAAGGACCAUGGGACCCAACACCACCACAGCUUCAUUGUGUUAAUAGAACCUCGUCCGCGGGGAGCCUGUCGUUUGCCUUGCCCACGCAACGAUCCCUGACGUCAGGACUUGGAAUCACACUCCUGACAUGACACAGCUGGCCGUGGCCAAAGACAUACCUGCGACUGUGACUACUCAGCAGCAGGAAAUGGAAAAUCCUGAACCUGAGAUCCAACAAUUUGGUCCAAAUGACAGCGCCGCACAAGCACAAGCGCCGCACACCCGCCGGGCAGAGAGCACAAGGCCGCAGCCCGCACCCUGUGGCGCUCUGCACGACGACCUGGGUCGCGGUGUCCCU
Canis lupus familiaris (dog) is the source of this 514-nucleotide long non-coding RNA. RefSeq lists it as uncharacterized. The transcript is spliced from 4 exons. NCBI's taxonomy places the organism in Eukaryota, Metazoa, Chordata, Mammalia, Carnivora, Canidae. The record is from RefSeq and is a predicted model, not a curated record.